GUGAGUAACACGUGGGUAACCUGCCCAUCAGAAGGGGAUAACACUUGGAAACAGGUGCUAAUACCGUAUAACAAUCGAAACCGCAUGGUUUUGAUUUGAAAGGCGCUUUCGGGUGUCGCUGAUGGAUGGACCCGCGGUGCAUUAGCUAGUUGGUGAGGUAACGGCUCACCAAGGCCACGAUGCAUAGCCGACCUGAGAGGGUGAUCGGCCACAUUGGGACUGAGACACGGCCCAAACUCCUACGGGAGGCAGCAGUAGGGAAUCUUCGGCAAUGGACGAAAGUCUGACCGAGCAACGCCGCGUGAGUGAAGAAGGUUUUCGGAUCGUAAAACUCUGUUGUUAGAGAAGAACAAGGAUGAGAGUAACUGUUCAUCCCUUGACGGUAUCUAACCAGAAAGCCACGGCUAACUACGUGCCAGCAGCCGCGGUAAUACGUAGGUGGCAAGCGUUGUCCGGAUUUAUUGGGCGUAAAGCGAGCGCAGGCGGUUUCUUAAGUCUGAUGUGAAAGCCCCCGGCUCAACCGGGGAGGGUCAUUGGAAACUGGGAGACUUGAGUGCAGAAGAGGAGAGUGGAAUUCCAUGUGUAGCGGUGAAAUGCGUAGAUAUAUGGAGGAACACCAGUGGCGAAGGCGGCUCUCUGGUCUGUAACUGACGCUGAGGCUCGAAAGCGUGGGGAGCAAACAGGAUUAGAUACCCUGGUAGUCCACGCCGUAAACGAUGAGUGCUAAGUGUUGGAGGGUUUCCGCCCUUCAGUGCUGCAGCUAACGCAUUAAGCACUCCGCCUGGGGAGUACGACCGCAAGGUUGAAACUCAAAGGAAUUGACGGGGGCCCGCACAAGCGGUGGA
Molecule: ribosomal RNA, 845 nt
Filed under: Enterococcus durans
Lineage: Bacteria; Bacillati; Bacillota; Bacilli; Lactobacillales; Enterococcaceae
Description: bacterial SSU rRNA
Rfam family: Bacterial small subunit ribosomal RNA
Source: RNAcentral